Long non-coding RNA from Fundulus heteroclitus (mummichog), 932 nucleotides. RefSeq lists it as uncharacterized. The record is from RefSeq and is a predicted model, not a curated record. The transcript has 4 exons. Lineage: Eukaryota; Metazoa; Chordata; Actinopteri; Cyprinodontiformes; Fundulidae.
GUUUCAGUCACGUGAUGAUUAUGACGCGGCCAGGGGGCGCGAUUUCAGAUGGAGGGCAGGAAGUCUAUGAAGCCAGCGUAAACAUGGAGGACACCGUUACCGAGAGCCCGUAUUGUAUGGAGUUAGAGCCUAUAUCAAGACAUAGAUACAAGGAGUUAAUUAAUAGAUAUGUUGGACGUGACCCGUACCUCAUGAAGAUGUGUGAAUUUUCGGUGGACCUUAAAGAUUUGCCGACAGUGGAGGCCGUUGAUAUAACAAACUACCUGGUCCUUCAGACAUCGUUCUACACUAAACAGCAAAUGAAGGCCUAUAAAAGUAUGGAGGCAUAUAACUUCUUUGUCUGCGGGUGGGUCCACAACCUCGGCACCAAACGUCUCCACGACGAUAAUACUUCAGUCUUUGCCAGGGUGAGUGUUUAUUCUUAUAUUGUUUUAUGUGUUAAAAGAUGCUAGCGUUAGCGGUAGCGGCUAUAGUGAACGAUCAUCAACGGUCAUGCAACACAUCUUAACAACAACGUUAGCCUGACAGUUGUUUAUGUUUCAAGGUAAACCACUCUCAGCGUUCAAGCGAAACACCUCUGAAGACGUGGAUUAUUGCGAAGAAGGAUGGAGAAGUCAUUGCAGCUCAUUGCAAUUGCAUGGCAGGAUUAUCAGAAUCAUGUUCUCAUGUAGGAGCAGUGCUUUUUUCCAUUGAAGCUGGGGUAAAAAUGCGAGAUGCAGCUUCCUGCACAACAGAGCAGUGCAAGUGGCUGAUGCCAUCACAUGUAAAAAAGAUUCCUGCUGCUCCAGUAGCUCAGAUUGACUUCUCCUCAGCAAAAUCCAAAAAAAAAAAGCUUGACAGCUCCAUUGACGGCAGGACAACUAUAAACAAGUUAUGGAUGCAAACAUGAGGCACAAGCCAGAGGAGCAUAUGAGAAGCUGAUGGGUCGGUAG